RNAcentral lists this ribosomal RNA (206 nucleotides) under uncultured Aquificia bacterium. RNAcentral's name for it is "uncultured Aquificae bacterium partial 16S ribosomal RNA". It matches the Rfam family "Bacterial small subunit ribosomal RNA", at positions 557 to 761 of the family's 1533-position model. Lineage: Bacteria; Pseudomonadati; Aquificota; Aquificia. The record is from RNAcentral.
UGGGUUUAAGUGUCCGCAGCCGGACGGGUAAGCGGUUCGUCAAAGCCCCACCGCUCAACGGGUGGAAGGCGUACCGAACUGCCCGUCUUGAGGCACGCUCAGGCAGGCGGAAUUCCCGGUGUAGCGGUGAAAUGCGUAGAUAUCGGGAGAACACCGAAGGCGAAGGCAGCCUGCUGGGGCUGUCCUGACGGUCAGGGACGAAAGCU